UCCGUAGGUGAACCUGCGGAGGGAUCAUUACCGAGUUAGGGUCCUCACAGGCCCGACCUCCCAACCCAUUGUUUAUGAUACUCAGUGUUGCUUCGGCAGGCCUGGUCUUUGACCUGCCGGAGGGCCGUAACACGCCCCCCGGAGAGCGCCUGCCGACGGCCCCAACUUCAAAAUUCUUAACUAAACAUGUCUUUGUCUAAGUAAAGUCUUUAAUAAAAGCAAAACUUUCAACAACGGAUCUCUUGGUUCUGGCAUCGAUGAAGAACGCAGCGAAAUGCGAUAAGUAAUGCGAAUUGCAGAAUUCUCGUGAGUCAUCGAAUCUUUGAACGCACAUUGCGCCCUUUGGUAUUCCGAAGGGCAUGCCUGUUCGAGCGUCAUUUUCACCCCUCAAGCCCCCGGCUUGGUGUUGGACGGUUUGGUCCCGGGACCCCCCUGGACCCCUCCCAAAGACAAUGACGGCGGGCUGUCGCACCCCCGGUACACUGAGCAUCUUCACGGAGCACGUACCGGUCUUCAGGGACGACGGCACCCGGUCUCACACCUAUAUCUUUCAAGGUUGACCUCGGAUCAGGUAGGAAUACCCGCUGAACUUAAGCAUAUCAAUAAGCGGAGGA
Molecule: unclassified non-coding RNA, 614 nt
Filed under: Exophiala spinifera
Lineage: Eukaryota; Fungi; Ascomycota; Eurotiomycetes; Chaetothyriales; Herpotrichiellaceae
Description: sequence contains 18S rRNA gene, ITS1, 5.8S rRNA gene, ITS2, 28S rRNA gene
Rfam family: 5.8S ribosomal RNA (bases 223-377)
Source: RNAcentral